This 461-nucleotide ribosomal RNA is filed under the name uncultured bacterium. RNAcentral describes it as "partial 16S ribosomal RNA". It matches the Rfam family "Bacterial small subunit ribosomal RNA", at positions 338 to 795 of the family's 1533-position model. The record is from RNAcentral.
CCUACGGGUGGCAGCAGUGAGGAAUAUUGGUCAAUGGGCGGGAGCCUGAACCAGCCAAGUCGCGUGAGGGAAGACGGUCCUAUGGAUUGUAAACCUCUUUAGGCGGGGAGCAAUGCCGGGCACGCGUGCCCGGAGGGAGAGUACCCGCAGAAUAAGCAUGGGCUAACUCCGUGCCAGCAGCCGCGGUAAUACGUAGGUGGCAAGCGUUAGCCGGAUUUACUGGGUGUAAAGGGCGUGUAACCGGGCUGUCAAGCAGGUUGUGAAAUCCGGGGGCUCAACCGCCGAACUGCAUUUGAAAUUGGUGGUCUUGAGGAUCGUAGAGGCAGGCGGAAUUCCUGGUGUAGCGGUGAAAUGCGUAGAUAUUAGGAGGAACACCAGGGGCGAAGGCGGCCUGCUGGACGACAACUGACGGUGAGGCGCGAAAGCGUGGGGAGCAAACAGGAUGAGAUACCCCAGUAGUC